This 101-nucleotide ribosomal RNA is filed under the name Nematostella vectensis (starlet sea anemone). Its description in RNAcentral is "Eukaryotic small subunit ribosomal RNA". It matches the Rfam family "Eukaryotic small subunit ribosomal RNA", at positions 1502 to 1604 of the family's 1831-position model. The record is from Rfam by way of RNAcentral. Lineage: Eukaryota; Metazoa; Cnidaria; Anthozoa; Actiniaria; Edwardsiidae.
ACUGACGGUGUCAACGAGUCUUUCCUUCGCCGGAAGGCGUGGGUAAUCUUGUAAAACAUCGUCGUGCUGGGGAUAGAUCAUUGCAAUUAUUGAUCUUGAAC